RNAcentral lists this ribosomal RNA (715 nucleotides) under Shigella sonnei. Its description in RNAcentral is "partial 23S ribosomal RNA". It matches the Rfam family "Bacterial large subunit ribosomal RNA", at positions 474 to 1190 of the family's 2925-position model. Lineage: Bacteria; Pseudomonadati; Pseudomonadota; Gammaproteobacteria; Enterobacterales; Enterobacteriaceae. The record is from RNAcentral.
UCCUGACUGACCGAUAGUGAACCAGUACCGUGAGGGAAAGGCGAAAAGAACCCCGGCGAGGGGAGUGAAAAAGAACCUGAAACCGUGUACGUACAAGCAGUGGGAGCACGCUUAGGCGUGUGACUGCGUACCUUUUGUAUAAUGGGUCAGCGACUUAUAUUCUGUAGCAAGGUUAACCGAAUAGGGGAGCCGAAGGGAAACCGAGUCUUAACUGGGCGUUAAGUUGCAGGGUAUAGACCCGAAACCCGGUGAUCUAGCCAUGGGCAGGUUGAAGGUUGGGUAACACUAACUGGAGGACCGAACCGACUAAUGUUGAAAAAUUAGCGGAUGACUUGUGGCUGGGGGUGAAAGGCCAAUCAAACCGGGAGAUAGCUGGUUCUCCCCGAAAGCUAUUUAGGUAGCGCCUCGUGAAUUCAUCUCCGGGGGUAGAGCACUGUUUCGGCAAGGGGGUCAUCCCGACUUACCGACCCGAUGCAAACUGCGAAUACCGGAGAAUGUUAUCACGGGAGACACACGGCGGGUGCUAACGUCCGUCGUGAAGAGGGAAACAACCCAGACCGCCAGCUAAGGUCCCAAAGUCAUGGUUAAGUGGGAAACGAUGUGGGAAGGCCCAGACAGCCAGGAUGUUGGCUUAGAAGCAGCCAUCAUUUAAAGAAAGCGUAAUAGCUCACUGGUCGAGUCGGCCUGCGCGGAAGAUGUAACGGGGCUAAACCAU